Felis catus (domestic cat) is the source of this 85-nucleotide transfer RNA. It matches the Rfam family "tRNA". From Rfam's summary of the family: Transfer RNA (tRNA) molecules are approximately 80 nucleotides in length. Lineage: Eukaryota; Metazoa; Chordata; Mammalia; Carnivora; Felidae. The record is from Rfam.
GCCUGGGUGGCUCGGUCGGUGGAGCGUCCGACUUAGACUCAGGUCAUGAUCUCGCGGUUCAUGGGUUCAAGCCCCAUGUCGGGCU